This is a long non-coding RNA of Oncorhynchus gorbuscha (pink salmon), 2366 nucleotides long. RefSeq lists it as uncharacterized. The transcript has 4 exons. Lineage: Eukaryota; Metazoa; Chordata; Actinopteri; Salmoniformes; Salmonidae. The record is from RefSeq and is a predicted model, not a curated record.
UUUAGCACAAAUAACUUAUUUAAGGUAGACUCAGCGAUAUGGCGUCGAUGCAGAAAGUAAACGGCAUAGUGGGGCAAUUUCCGCAGCAACUAAGAGCGUUGACGCGUGACGCUCAAUUUCUCCGCUGUUUUGGUGCUCUAGCUACCACACUGUGAACAGCGCGUAGCGAACCCGUUUCACAUACAGGUCCUGUGUGAGAGCGAAGUCUUGCAUCUUAUUCAUCUUAAUGUCUGCCCUGCUGCUCGUGGCAAAAUAAUUUCUCACUCACUGCCUGCUCUGUGGACAUAAUACUGUACAUUCAAGCCUGUUCAGAUUUUUUGUUCUCAUCCUUCGUUCGCACAGGGCCGUCCCGUAGAGGGGCCGUCCCGUAGAGGGGCUGACACAGAGAGCGAGAAUUAUGGUUCAAGUUUCUCCUCGUCAGUAUGUUAUGUGCUGCUGCUGUAUUGAACUGUUUGUGGUUCAUUCUGCAUGUUUGCACUGUUACCGUGAGAGUGGAAGAGAAGAGUUGAUGAGUCGUCAUUUUGGUGGAAGAGAAAGGUGCCGUUGUCUCUAAUAUCAUGUUGUAGGGAUUGUUUCGAUGGUCUAGACAUGGAGGGAGUGAUUGAGAGCUGUCAUUCUUCUACUGGGGUCAACUAAUAGAUGACGUGUGUGUGUGUGUGUGUUGUGUUUAUAUAUCUUUCAACUCGUAUGGAUUUGAUGAGCUUGUAAUCUCUUGUGAUAGACUAAAUUGAGUUAGCUGGUUAGCUGGGCUCCCGAGUGGCUCAGCGGUCUAAGGCACUGCAUCUCAGAGCUUGAGGAGUCACUACAGACACCCUGGUUCGAAUCCAGGCUGUAUCACAACUGGCCGUAGUUGGGAGUCCCAUAGGGCGGCGCAUAAUUGGCCCAGCGUUGUCCGGGGUUGUCCAGUGUAGGCCGUGAUUGUAAAAUAAGAAUUUGUUCUUAACUGACUUGCCUAGUUAAAUAAAGGUAAGAAAAAAAAGAAAGCUAGUUACAUUAUUGUGGUUAUAUCAUGAUGUCAUUGCCAGAUGUCUAUGGGUGCAGCAGAGCCAUAGUACCAGAGCCUCAGCAGGCGAAAGUUGUGGAAUGGUGCAAAUAGAUGUCAUAAAUAGAACUGACAUAAUUCCUUCUACAAGACAGUUAUAUCUGCAACUUUCUGUAACACCUUUCACCUUCCUGAGAAGACCCCUAAACGGGUUUGUGCUGUGUCAUGUUUCUGACCACUGACAGGAGAAAAGGACCCGGGAGGAAGGGAGGGAGAAGGAGAGACUAGAGAGGGAGUGGGAGAGGCAGAAAGAGGGAGGAUAAUGGAUAUCCAGUGUCCACGCUGCUGAUCCAUGAUAUGAAUACUGCAGCGAUGGCUUAGCCUCCUGGCCCUCUGGCAGCUGCCCCUCAAUUUGUCUAAUGAAACUAUUAUCUAGUUAGACUGGCUGGCCAUUGUUCAGUCUGGGUAGGGCUGCCACUGGGCUGAUCCUGGAACUAUCCUGUCAGGGCUUUAGCCUGUUGAACAAUGAUAAGGAUGGGACGCACUCCAGGAACAAUUCAAGCCUUUCCCCCCCGUCUAAAUAAUAAGAUUUAGACAAACAGAAGCCAGUAUUCGGCAUUCAUUAGAGCGUCUGCUAAAUGACUUAAAUGUAAAUGUAAAUGUCUGUCUACCACAGCUUACUGUUAUUAUAACAAUGGCUGGUUGUCUAAGGGUGGAAUAACAUGAUAUACAUUUGAUGUUAUCCAGUGAUGCCUCGCUUAUUCAAGUCACCUGGAAUUUUGUUUAACAUACUGUAACUUUUUGGGUUCACAGAUCACCUGCUGCAACUCGGAAAACAGGCUAGCUGUUUCAGGUUCAACACAUCCAUCUUCCUCCAGCAGUGUCAUUUCCUCAGGCAUGCAGGCCACUCAGAAAAGGCUGUGCGCCUGUUCCAGUGCCUGCUGGAUUUGACCUUCUUCAAGCCAGACACUGUCAAGGACCUAUCCACCAGACAACAGAUGAUAAAGAUCAGGAGGAAUCAGAGGUGAAGGAUAAGACCUGGCUCAAGUGGAGGAUCUGGUUGGACGCGGAGACGUUACAUGAGGCCAUCUAUUGGCUGCCGUGGAGGGCAGACAAAACCAAAGGCCAAUCGGUGGAGGACUGUGAGGACCCGGACUUACAGCCUACAGUUCCUGAAGCCUGCUGCUGGAUGACCUGGCUCUGCUGGGGGACGUUCAUGAUCCUGACUCACCUCUGACGACCUUCCCGUCAGCCCUGUGGGUCACAUGACUUCGCUGCAGGGCACCAGGAGGGGGGCGUGGCUGUGCAAGCAGGGGGAGGAGUUUCUGUUCUCUACUCAGGAGAGAUCCGUCUUCUCACUGCACUGGAUCCAGUAUGAGAAGCU